GACGAACGCUGGCGGCGUGCUUAACACAUGCAAGUCGAACGGAAAGGCCCUGCUUUUGUGGGGUGCUCGAGUGGCGAACGGGUGAGUAACACGUGAGUAACCUGCCCUUGACUUUGGGAUAACUUCAGGAAACUGGGGCUAAUACCGGAUAGGGGCUCCUGCUGCAUGGUGGGGGUUGGAAAGUUUCGGCGGUUGGGGAUGGACUCGCGGCUUAUCAGCUUGUUGGUGGGGUAGUGGCUUACCAAGGCUUUGACGGGUAGCCGGCCUGAGAGGGUGACCGGCCACAUUGGGACUGAGAUACGGCCCAGACUCCUACGGGAGGCAGCAGUGGGGAAUAUUGCACAAUGGGCGGAAGCCUGAUGCAGCAACGCCGCGGGCGGGAUGACGGCCUUCGGGUUGUAAACCGCUUUCGCCUGUGACGAAGCGUGAGUGACGGUAAUGGGUAAAGAAGCACCGGCUAACUACGUG
RNAcentral lists this ribosomal RNA (468 nucleotides) under uncultured bacterium. RNAcentral's name for it is "partial 16S ribosomal RNA". It matches the Rfam family "Bacterial small subunit ribosomal RNA", at positions 28 to 507 of the family's 1533-position model. The record is from RNAcentral.